RNAcentral lists this ribosomal RNA (451 nucleotides) under uncultured bacterium. RNAcentral describes it as "partial 16S ribosomal RNA". It matches the Rfam family "Bacterial small subunit ribosomal RNA", at positions 354 to 796 of the family's 1533-position model. The record is from RNAcentral.
GUGGGGAAUAUUGCGCAAUGGGGGAAACCCUGACGCAGCGACGCCGUGUGAGGGAAGAAGGCUUUCGGGUCGUAAACCUCUGUCAGAAAGGAAGAACCUCCCAAGUCCGAAUAGGGCUUGGGACUGACGGUACUUUCAAAGGAAGCACCGGCUAACUCCGUGCCAGCAGCCGCGGUAAUACGGAGGGUGCAAGCGUUAAUCGGAAUCACUGGGCGUAAAGCGCGCGUAGGCCGCUUUGUAAGUCGGACGUGAAAGCCCUCGGCUCAACCGGGGAACUGCGUUGGAUACUGCGAGGCUUGAGUCCUGGAGAGGGUGGCGGAAUUCCGGGUGUAGGAGUGAAAUCCGUAGAUAUCCGGAGGAACACCGGUGGCGAAGGCGGCCACCUGGACAGGUACUGACGCUGAGGCGCGAAAGCGUGGGGAGCAAACAGGAUUAGAAACCCGGGUAGUCC